This is a long non-coding RNA of Hylaeus volcanicus, 1046 nucleotides long. RefSeq lists it as uncharacterized. The record is from RefSeq and is a predicted model, not a curated record. Lineage: Eukaryota; Metazoa; Arthropoda; Insecta; Hymenoptera; Colletidae. The transcript has 3 exons.
CGCGGAGCUUCAAUUGUGCGUGCUCAGAGGCAACGUACUCGAUUUUGAAACUCUUCCUGCUGGCAUCCUUGUCUCUCCUAUUUCCCCUCGAUUCAACGGAGACUGAAAUGGCAUUCUUCGAGCUGAAAGCGACCCUAAAUUCCUCGAUACUACGAUCAAGUUCCGUUUCGCAAAGAUCCUCCAAACGAAGCUUCCGCGCCGCAAUAUGAUUCACGAUCAAUAUGGCGAGGAAAAAUGAUGCGACAAUAGGGGGAGUUGGCUCAUCGCCUGGCGCAAAACCGCAGAUCAAGACAAUGCGGCGUAAUAACCGAAUCUCUUCUAUUUUCAGGUUGCAAGUAGGCUCUCUAACUCUGAAGUGGUCCUAAGUAUAUGCUUAUAUGGUUUGCAUUCCACUGUGAAGGUCGAGAUGACUAAUUUGGAGGGGCGAGGGGGGAGCAUGUAACAAUUUAUGCGAAAUGUUAGUUUCUGUAGAUCUGAUUGCUGUUUUGUUGGAUUUGUACGCACACUGAGCGUCUGGACAGACUUGAGCAUAGUAAUUGAAAGUUAAUUCUACCUUUGUAUGAAGUAAGAGAUGAGUUUCUUAUUCCAAAAUAUUUUACUAAAACUAAUUCAUUUGUAUGAAAUCCUGAGAAGAUUUAUUUUGAGUCACUGUUCACAGUCCUUGUUUAUUUACACCUUUAAAUAUUUUAUGGAAUUUUAUUAAUAAUGUCUGUAUGUGUAAUCUUGGGUGGAUGAAUAAUAGGGAUAAAUAAUGUACACACUGUGGGUUGCCAUCAAUUUAAUUUCUAUAUUCUUUACCAUAUUACACGGUAUGGAUGUAUUCAUAUAUAAAAAGAAUUACGCUUAAAUACCAAUUGAAGACGAAUGUACACAAUAAUAUACACGGAUUGGUUUUGCUAUUUUUUUUUAUACUUUUAUUACUUUUCCUUGACAUGAAGUCACAUUGAUCGUAUCGUGGUGGUCUGAGGCGUUUCACAAUUUAAUCGCUUACGAGUAUUGUCACUGUUGCAAUCAAUUUCACGACUCGUUGGCAAAGUAUAAAAUUA